GCAUGGGCGUUCUUAGUUCGUGGAGUGAUCUGUCUGCUUAAUUGCGUUUCAAAUUUUAUAUUUGUUAACAUGCGAGUCUUCAAUGACGGCCACUCCACCUUAUAGACAUUAUAUGAUAUGCACAUUUGUGUAUUUGAUUAUAACUUGUCUGGAGUCUGGCUCGAUUUUUUUGACUCAAUUGAACGCAACGGACGUGAUUGCAAGUCCUUGUUGAACAAAUUAUAUAUAUACUACUUCAUCAUUAGUAUAUAUAGUUCGCUUCUCAUGUCGUAGCAGUCAAACGGGCGGGCGUCUUAAUUGGCGCGGUCACGAGGCUUAAUAUGCUGCGGCUGGGAAAACUUGGGCGACCGCUGUAAUACUUCUCUCUUAAACCAGAGGAAGAUUGCGGCAAUAACAGGUCUGUGAUGCCCUCAGAUGUCCCGGGCCGCACACGUGCUACAUUGAUUAGCGCAGUGCGCAUACUUACAUAUAGAUCAUUGAUUGGUUAUUUAUAACCGUCAAUAUCGCCUUGUCUGAAAGGACUAGGUAAUCUAUUGUAAGUGCUGGUUCCUCCUCCCGUUGAGCAUUUUAAUAAUGGUCUCUCUACAUCCCUAGCACAUGAUGUCUAGUGCGAUUGUAGUUGAGUUCUGCCAUUUAUGCAAGUGUCAAUUCUCA
RNAcentral lists this ribosomal RNA (654 nucleotides) under Globigerinella siphonifera. RNAcentral's name for it is "partial 18S ribosomal RNA". The stretch from base 1 to 563 matches the Rfam family "Eukaryotic small subunit ribosomal RNA", at positions 1282 to 1607 of the family's 1831-position model. Lineage: Eukaryota; Foraminifera; Rotaliida; Globigerinidae. The record is from RNAcentral.